Heterocephalus glaber (naked mole-rat) is the source of this 939-nucleotide long non-coding RNA. RefSeq lists it as uncharacterized. The record is from RefSeq and is a predicted model, not a curated record. NCBI's taxonomy places the organism in Eukaryota, Metazoa, Chordata, Mammalia, Rodentia, Bathyergidae.
GAGCAACUCAUGUCUACCUACAUCACUGGGCUGUUGGAAGGACUGAAUGACAAGACUCACAUACAUUGCUCAGAUCAGGGCCUGGCACAGAGUUGCACACAAUGCAGUUUUGUUGACGGCACAAGGAAAUGUCUACUGAGCCCCUGUCUCAAGACAGGCCUGUGCUAGGGACUGGGAAUAAAGUGGUGAGCAAAGCCCGACUUGAUCUCUGAGCUCAAGGCAACUAGAGCCUCAACCAGCAGAGACUGAGCAGGAGUUGAACCAGAGGAAGCAUUCAACGGCACAUGAUCCUUAUUGCCUGGCUCGGGCAGAGCCCCUGAGCUCCUUCAAAGGUGGGAACUGAAGCCUCCCAAGCACCCGGGAACCUCUGAGCAGCAGACAUCACCUGAGGCCCCCAGGAAGCCAGGGUGGCUGGAGUGGUGCUGGGCAGCUUCCUUGGGCAGCAGCUCUGGCUUCUUUGAGGACAGAAGUAGAACAGCAAAGCCGGAUGCUCACUGCCCUCCAGCCCCUGACCCCCAGCAGAUCCUGAUGAGGCUGUGGGGUUAGCAAGAAGACAUGCUGGUGUCCCACCCUACUGCAGCAUCAGAAGGCAGGAAACAACUGUGCACUGAAGAGCACACUCCAAGUUCCUGAGCAGACUAAAGCCUGUGACCCCGAUUAACGAACUCCAGGAUGACGGAGGCCUGUGUUUGCCCUGAAAGCGUGAAGUCUGGCGUGUGCUGGGUGCUGGCUGUGUUUCUGUGAAGCUGAAUUGAGCUGAUGGCUGUAGCCCUUGCUUAGAGACCUGCAUCCCAGAGGACACACAAUAAUGGAUAAUGACGAGGUCGGUUGUAUUCAAUGGACCCAGGAAGGAUGCAGGUGAGCAGUGGGGUGACCAGGAGGCAAUGAAAUCCUAGCUGGGCAUGGUGGUGCACACACACCUGUCUUCCCAGCACUUGA